Molecule: ribosomal RNA, 464 nt
Filed under: uncultured bacterium
Lineage: Bacteria
Description: partial 16S ribosomal RNA
Rfam family: Bacterial small subunit ribosomal RNA
Source: RNAcentral
CCUACGGGUGGCAGCAGUAGGGAAUCUUCCACAAUGGACGAAAGUCUGAUGGAGCAACGCCGCGUGAGUGAAGAAGGGUUUCGGCUCGUAAAGCUCUGUUGGUAGUGAAGAAAGAUAGAGGUAGUAACUGGCCUUUAUUUGACGGUAAUUACUUAGAAAGUCACGGCUACUACGUGCCAGCAGCCGCGGUAAUACGGAGGUGGCAAGCGUUGUCCGGAUUUAUUGGGCGUAAAGCGAGUGCAGGCGGUUCAAUAAGCCUGAUGUGAAAGCCUUCGGCUCAACCGAAGAAGUGCAUCGGAAACCGGGCGACUUGAGUGCAGAAGAGGACAGUGGAACUCCAUGUGUAGCGGUGGAAUGCGUAGAUAUAUGGAAGAACACCAGUGGCGAAGGCGGCUGUCUGGUCUGCAACUGACGCUGAGGCUCGAAAGCAUGGGUAGCGAACAGGAUUAGAUACCCGUGUAGUC